CUACACUUGAUCUUAGCCAAAAGGCCGAGAAGCGAUGCCCACCUGUCCCAACACGCCCCGGCAACACCCCGCAAACACGCUCUCAGGUCACGGCCGCUCCCGCCCGCCCCGCCACACGCACCCCGCUCCUUGCCCCGCUCCCUCCCCGCACGCUGCCGCCAGCCUCUACCCACACCGACCCCCGGGCCCCGCCGCCUCCCUCCGCCACACGCACUCCCGGCAGCGCCUUCGCUCCGGACAACCCUCUUAGCAUGUCCCCGCCCCCAAGGACGCCGCGCUGCCCGGGGCCAGGGGGCGGCGCGCACGCGCCUUUUGGCCUGGGACGGCCCCUGCUCCACUUGGGGGGCGGCGGCGGCGGCGGCAGCGAACCUUCUUAGAACCUUUCCCGUGGGACCUGUCUCCAAUCCCGUGCAUUUGGCAUGUGCAGCUCGCCUUGAAAAUACAGUGCUGCUGCUGCUGCUGCAGCUGCUCAGAGACGUGCCACUGCGUUUGGGAGCUACAGGAAAGCACAGAGGCAGAACGCUGGUAUGUAGGUCCCCGUGUAGCCUGCCAGCCGGGACUCUGCUACCUUCCUAGCAGCUUUCCGCUGGCAGCUGUCUCCCGAUCAAAAGCAGCGUUGGACCCCAAAAGCCAUGACGAGCAACGGCGGCGAGGGGACGGGAAGGAGGGAGGGACGCCUCGGGAUCCCCGGUGCUGGCACAACACCAGGUUUGCCCUAAAACAGCAGUUUUCCUCUCAGAACGGCGCUUUUCCCGCCUCAAAGGGAUUUUUACCUCCCUCGAACGAGCUCAAUUGGACCGAAAGCAGCCAUCUCCCCCCAUAACAGCGCUUUUAUCUCUCAUAAUGUCCCUUUUCCCCACACAAAGUGGCUUUUCACACACACAAAGCCUCGCACGAGCUGAAGUUGUCCAAAAGCAGCCAUUUUCCCACUAAACGAACGUUUUUCCCCUCAGAA
Molecule: long non-coding RNA, 955 nt
Organism: Colius striatus (speckled mousebird)
Lineage: Eukaryota; Metazoa; Chordata; Aves; Coliiformes; Coliidae
Exons: 2
Source: RefSeq, a predicted model, not a curated record